RNAcentral lists this ribosomal RNA (492 nucleotides) under uncultured bacterium. RNAcentral's name for it is "partial 16S ribosomal RNA". It matches the Rfam family "Bacterial small subunit ribosomal RNA", at positions 29 to 507 of the family's 1533-position model. The record is from RNAcentral.
AGUGAGCGCUGGCGGCAGGCCUAACACAUGCAAGUCGAACGGCAGCACAGUAAGAGCUUGCUCUUACGGGUGGCGAGUGGCGGACGGGUCAGGAAUACAUCGGAAUCUACUUUUUCGUGGGGGAUAACGUAGGGACACUUACGCUAAUACCGCAUACGACCUACGGGUGAAAGCAGGGGAUCUUCGGACCUUGCGCGAUUGAAUGAGCCGAUGUCGGAUUAGCUAGUUGGCGGGGUAAAGGCCCACCAAGGCGACGAUCCGUAGCUGGUCUGAGAGGAUGAUCAGCCACACUGGAACUGAGAUACGGUCCAGACUCCUACGGGAGGCAGCAGUGGGGAAUAGUGGACAAUGGGCGCAAGCCUGAUCCAGCCAUACCGCGUGGGUGAAGAAGGCCUUCGGGUUGUAAAGCCCUUUUGUUGGGAAAGAAAAGCAGCAGGUUAAUACCCCGCUGUUCUGACGGUACCCAAAGAAUAAGCACCGGCUAACUUCGUG